This 2244-nucleotide long non-coding RNA is filed under the name Sus scrofa (pig). Its description in RNAcentral is "lncRNA (ENSSSCG00070017726.1)". Lineage: Eukaryota; Metazoa; Chordata; Mammalia; Artiodactyla; Suidae. The record is from RNAcentral.
UUGGAAUAUGCUUAAAAAUAUCAGUUUGUCCUGUGCAAAAUUUUUCAGGAAUACUCCAGAAUAAUUGUUAUUUACUUAUAUAUAUUAUUUAUUAUGUUAUUUACUUACUGUAUAUAUAUAUAUACACACACAUAUAUAUAACAGAAAAAAGGGCAAAUACAUAUCAAAUAACAUUGUAUCCUGAGACCAUGACAAAAAGACAUUUUAUUCCUCUUUUUUUUAUGGCUGCACCUGCAGCAUACAGAAGUUCCUGGGCUAGGGGUAGAAGUGGAGCUACAGCUGCCACCUAUACCACAGCCACAGCAAUGCCAGAUCUGAGCCACAUCUGUGACCUAUGCCACAGCUUGUGGAUUCUUAACCCACUGAGUAAGGCCAGGGAUUGGAACUUCAUCCUCAUGGAGACGUCAGGUUCUUAUUCCACUGAGGCCAUAAUGGGAACUCCAAAAAGACAUUUUAAAAUAGAGCUGUUUUUCUUUGCUAACUCAACUGUUCCCUAGUCAUUUUUUUCCUUUCCUCCUAGGUUUCUGAGAUCUCAUUCUUCUCAGCUUGGCUCCAAGGUUAGAUCCUCUCCGAGAGCUUCUGAUCUCACAUGAAUCCUCAUCCUUCCCCUGAGAUCCCACUGUAUUGCUUUCAUUUCUUUGUGCAUGUGGUGCCCAUAUUGAGCUGAAAUGACUUGCUUAUACCCUGUCUUCUCCAUUAGACUGAGGACUCCUUGGGGCCAAAGACUGUGGCUUAUGUACUGGUCCAAUGUUCAGCUCUGUGUGCAGCAGGUGCUCAGACAGUGCUGGAGGGCCUGUCUUUUGAAUCUGUCUGCUGUUCUUUCCUUUGCUCUUCAUUUCAACAUGUCUUUUCCUCUUACUCUUUGUGAUUUUCACUUGAUCCUUUUGAGUUUUGAUUCCAAAGUUCUUAAGAGACAGAGAUCCUAUUGGCUGGUGCAAGACCAUAGCAGUUGUGUGUGUGUGUGUGUGUGUGAGAGAGAGAGAGAGAGAGAGAGAGAGAGGGAGAGGGAGAGGGAGAGGGAGAGGGAGAGGGAGAGGGAGAGGGAGAGGGAGAGGGAGAGCGCUGAGUCACUGUCUCCCAUUUCUGGCUUUGCUUCUCACAUCCACAACCCAUGUGCUCUACUUCCAUUUUUUCCUCUCAUUCCUGUUCCAAGCACAUCUGAAGAUUUUAUUUUCUCUAGCUUGGCUUUUCCCUUUGGGGAUGGCUCACAAAGCCUCAGAGCUUCUGAACGCACUCUGACGUGAGGGAGCAGCUUGAGUCCUCAAGUAUGUGUCCCGCCUGGAGACGAAGCCCAUUGAAGUCCCUGAGAGCAAACAGCUCUGAAAAGCAAAGCGAUCUGGUAUUUACUCAACUUUACUUCUGUCCGGUGGGUCAGAGAACAGACUCCAGUGUCCAGGAUAAAGCCGGGCCUGGCCGGGUCUUGGCAGCUCAAACCGCCCCAUUGUGAUUCAAGAUUCGGGGUGUAAACACAUGCAGUGUUUAACCACCGCCAGUCCUCUUUGAAUGUUUGAUAGCCGUGACUGGGGCUCAGGAAGAACACAGUAGUGACUUCUUCACUGGAGCUGAGGCUGAGGCUUUAUGUAGUGUUUGGGCAAACGGCACCGGCAGCUGCAAGCCCUCAAUGGGUGCUUUCUAGUUGCUGAGUGGGCUGUGCUGCGUUGCUGGGAGCCGAGGUCCGGAGCUGCCCCUGGGCUGGAUGGGGGGAGGAGGAGGCGGCCAGCCGCAGCCUGGGCCACCCCUUCUCGGUGACAGGUGCUGAGGGACAGGAGAAGGAGCCCCUCCCUACUGGCUCCCAAGCCUGGGCUCAGUGUCUGCCACUGACUGCCAUUUUUAUUGGGUUUUUGUUUCAGGAACACACACAGGACCUUGGCAGGCAGAGAUGUACCCUGUGGCUUGGUCUUUCUCUGCUCAGCUAGUGGUGAUGAAAACAGUAACAAAGACCCUGACUUUGCUAAAUGACCAAGACUCACUCAGAUAACAAGCCAGUACAGUUGCUGGCAGAGAGCCUUCUAGACGCUUGAUGCAGUGUGACCUACUGGAGUGAGAAGGAGAAUUGGAAGGGGAGGGCUCUCAGUUACAUUUUGGUCCAAUUAAAGGAUACUAUUAUCUCCUCCUGAUGUGGACUGAUGAUCCUGUUUAUCAUUAACUAUCAUCUACUGAGAACUUUUAUGUGCCAGGUACUGAACUAGGUAUUGCAUGUUCAUUGUCUUACCAUAAUCCUGCAAUUUCGUUGUUGUUGUUCUU